ACCCGGCAGGGGUUGUGGAGGCGGGGUCGUGGGACCGUCCAGCCAGUUCUGCCGGACUGGCGGGGAGUGAGAAAGCGCUGUCGUUAGUGGAAGGCCUCUGGAAGGGGUCGCCGCAGAGGGUGAGAGCCCCGUACACGAAAACGCAGCGCCUCCCGGACGUGUUUCCCAAGUAGCACCGAGCCCGUGGAAUUCGGUGUGAAUCCGGCGGGACCACCCGCUAAGCCUGAAUACUCCCUGGUGACCGAUAGCGGACGAGUACCGUGAGGGAAAGGUGAAAAGUACCCCGGGAGGGGAGUGAAAUAGUACCUGAAACCGUGUGCCUACAAGCCGUGAGAGCCGUGAAGCCGCACCUUCGGUGCGGGCGGUGAUUGCGUGCCUUUUGAAGAAUGAGCCUGCGAGUUAGUGGUACGUGGCGAGGUUAACCCGUGGGGGGUAGCCGUAGCGAAAGCGAGUCCGAACAGGGCGUGCCAGUCGCGUGCUCUAGACCCGAAGCCGAGUGAUCUACCCAUGGCCAGGUUGAAGCGCGGGUAAGACCGCGUGGAGGACCGAACCCACCAGGGUUGAAAACCUGGGGGAUGAGCUGUGGGUAGGGGUGAAAGGCCAAUCAAACUCGGUGAUAGCUGGUUCUCCCCGAAAUGCAUUUAGGUGCAGCGUCGCGUGUUUCUUGCCGGAGGUAGAGCACUGGAUGGCCGAUGGGCCCCACAAGGUUACUGACGUCAACCAAACUCCGAAUGCCGGUAAGUGAGAGCGCGGCAGUGAGACUGCGGGCGAUAAGGUUCGUAGUCGAGAGGGAAACAGCCCAGAUCAUCGGCUAAGGCCCCUAAGCGUGUGCUAAGUGGAAAAGGAUGUGGGAUCGCAGAGACAACCAGGAGGUUGGCUUAGAAGCAGCCAUCCUUGAAAGAGUGCGUAAUAGCUCACUGGUCAAGUGGUUCCGCGCCGACAAUGUAGCGGGGCUCAAGCACACCGCCGAAGCCGUGGCACUCCGCCGUGCGCCCGCCGGUUCUUCCUCGGGAGGCCGGCCAGGUGGCGGGGUGGGUAGGGGAGCGUCGUGUGGCGGGUGAAGCGGCGGAGGGAUCCAGCCGUGGACGCCACGCGAGUGAGAAUGCAGGCAUGAGUAGCGAGAGGGGAGUGAGAACCUCCCCCGCCGGAAGACCAAGGGUUCCUGGGCCAGGCUAAUCCGCCCAGGGUGAGUCGGGACCUAAGGCGAGGCCGACAGGCGUAGUCGAUGGACAACGGGUUGAUAUUCCCGUACCCGCGAAGGAACGCCCAUGCUGAACCCAGUGAUGCUGACCGCCCGAAGCCGGCCGAUCCACUUGUGGAGAGGUCGGGGGAGCGCGGGACCCGAGCUGGUAGUAGGCAAGCGAUGGGGUGACGCAGGAAGGUAGUCCUACCGGUGAGUGGUAGUACCGGUGCAAGGGUGUGGCCCGCGCCAUAGGCAAAUCCGUGGCGCACGAGGGUGAGGCCUGACGCAUAGCCGAUUGCGGUGAAUGGGAUGAUCCUAUGCUGCCGAGAAAAGCCUCUAGCGAGUUCCGAGCGGCCCGUACCCCAAACCAACUCAGGUGGUCAGGUAGAGAAUACCGAGGCGAUCGAGCGAACUGUGGUUAAGGAACUCGGCAAAAUGCCCCCGUAACUUCGGGAGAAGGGGGGCCGUCUGCUGUCAACACCCGCGCGGUGGGCAGCGGUGGGCGGCCGCAGAGACCAGUGAGAAGCGACUGUUUACUAAAAACACAGGUCCGUGCGAAGUCGUAAGACGAGGUAUACGGACUGACGCCUGCCCGGUGCUGGAACGUUAAGGGGACGGGUUAGCUACAUCUGUGGCGAAGCUCAGAACUCAAGCGCCAGUAAACGGCGGUGGUAACUAUAACCAUCCUAAGGUAGCGAAAUUCCUUGUCGGGUAAGUUCCGACCUGCACGAAUGGCGUAACGACUUCUCAGCUGUCUCAACCACAGGCUCGGCGAAAUUGCACUACGAGUAAAGAUGCUCGUUACGCGCGGCAGGACGGAAAGACCCCGGGACCUUCACUACAGCUUGAUAUUGGUGUUCGGUUCGGCUUGUGUAGGAUAGGUGGGAGACUGGGAAGCGGGCACGCCAGUGUUCGUGGAGUCGCCGUUGAAAUACCACUCUGGUCGAAUUGGAUGUCUAACCUCGGUCCGUGAUCCGGAUCAGGAACAGUGUCAGGUGGGUAGUUUAACUGGGGCGGUUGCCUCCCAAAGUGUAACGGAGGCGCCCAAAGGUUCCCUCAGCCUGGUUGGCAAUCAGGUGUCGAGUGCAAGUGCACAAGGGAGCUUGACUGUGAGACCGACGGGUCGAGCAGGAGCGAAAGCUGGGACUAGUGACCCGGCACCGGCAUGUGGAAGCGGUGUCGCUCAACGGAUAAAAGGUACCCCGGGGAUAACAGGCUGAUCUUCCCCAAGAGUCCAUAUCGACGGGAUGGUUUGGCACCUCGAUGUCGGCUCGUCGCAUCCUGGGGCUGGAGUAGGUCCCAAGGGUUGGGCUGUUCGCCCAUUAAAGCGGUACGCGAGCUGGGUUUAGAACGUCGUGAGACAGUUCGGUCCCUAUCCGCCGUGCGCGUAAGAGACUUGCGAAGAGCUGUCCCUAGUACGAGAGGACCGGGACGGACGAACCUCUGGUGUGCCAGUUGUACCGCCAGGUGCACGGCUGGUUGGCUACGUUCGGCAGGGAUAACCGCUGAAAGCAUCUAAGCGGGAAGCUCGCUUCAAGAUGAGGUCUCUCACCGGGUGUAACCGGGUAAGGCCCCCGCCCAGACCAGCGGGUUGAUAGGCCGGAGGUGGAAGCACCGCGAGGUGUGGAGCUGACCGGUACUAACAGGCCGAGGGCUUGACCAC
This 2846-nucleotide ribosomal RNA is filed under the name Geodermatophilus siccatus. RNAcentral describes it as "bacterial LSU rRNA". It matches the Rfam family "Bacterial large subunit ribosomal RNA". Lineage: Bacteria; Bacillati; Actinomycetota; Actinomycetes; Geodermatophilales; Geodermatophilaceae. The record is from RNAcentral.